Molecule: long non-coding RNA, 935 nt
Organism: Grus americana (Whooping crane)
Lineage: Eukaryota; Metazoa; Chordata; Aves; Gruiformes; Gruidae
Exons: 6
Source: RefSeq, a predicted model, not a curated record
AGCUGAUGAAGAGGCACCGGGCAAUUGCAGGAACAUCCCAGUUAGCCAAUGCGCGGUGGUGAUGUUUUUGUUGCUGAUGGAUUCGGAUCCCCGGCCCUCGGAAAGCUAAAUGCGGACUGGCUAGAUGCCCACCGACGAGCGGCAGAGGAGGAGAGCAGAGCGCCGUAAGAAGGUGGCGGUCAGGCCUCGGCACGGCAGGCCGAAGAAUCCGACUCCGAGCGGCUGAGGAAAAGGGACAGGCGAGAGGAAGGCGUUUCCAAGGAGGGCUUCGUCGCAGCGGAGGUCGACGCCGGGCGGCACGUCGGCGACCGGCGACGCUCUGUCUCGUGAGGGAUGAAGCGGAACCUGGGGGAUGGGGGAGCGUCCCGGUUAGAUGACCUUUUCCCCAUGAGAAGGGAAUCUGGAUUCUGCCCUCUGAAAGCCCCGACCAACUGCACAACAAGCCUUGUUAAGGGCCAGUCGGCACACAAUACCUGACUUAGUCCCACCUCGCCAAAAGUAUAAAUCUGGCAUUCAGAAUCCUCUUUUUUGAGGACGAGAACUCCAACUAUCUGGACAGGUUGACGGGCCUGGACCUCUCUCUCUCCUCCCCAAGCAGGGACGCCUCUUUGGUGCCACGGCACGAUUUGGAUUCCCGCACGACAGCCUCGAGUGAGGUUUUUGUGGAGUAUCCAAGCAACAGCGAAGGAGCGGUGCAGUUAGCAAGGCAUCUUCCCUGGUCCCUGCCUAUGAGCGCUAACUCUACAGAGUCAGGCGGAGCGGCGAUGCUGACUUAAGGGACAGGGCAGGGAAUCAGAGUAGCUAUCCAGGUGACUGCAAGCUGCACGUGUUUGGCCAGGGGUUGGAAUCAGAGGAUCCAGAUUCCAUUGUAGUAGAAAGCUCUGGAACGAGAAAAAUGUUAAGUGAAGCAGGAGAGAUUGACUGUCAAUGUGCCU